RNAcentral lists this transfer RNA (74 nucleotides) under Cordylochernes scorpioides. RNAcentral describes it as "tRNA-Ile". The record is from RNAcentral. Lineage: Eukaryota; Metazoa; Arthropoda; Arachnida; Pseudoscorpiones; Chernetidae.
UGGCCGUUGGGGGGAUCGAACCCACGACCUUCGCGUUAUUAGCACGACGCUCUAACCAACUGAGCUAAUGGGCC